This is a long non-coding RNA of Rhagoletis zephyria (snowberry fruit fly), 667 nucleotides long. RefSeq lists it as uncharacterized. NCBI's taxonomy places the organism in Eukaryota, Metazoa, Arthropoda, Insecta, Diptera, Tephritidae. The record is from RefSeq and is a predicted model, not a curated record.
GGGUACUUCGUCUGUAUGUUACGAAGCCAGUGGCUUCAGAAAAGUUAAAAAAACUUACAUUCUUUGUAGUAAAGGUUUAUGCGCCAUUUUGGUUUUUAAUAAAAAAAAAAGCCGAAAGCCAUAAAUGGCAGCCGACACUUACUACAGUAUAUUAAAUGGAUUCGACAAUUGCCUACAGAUAUGCAAGAAACUGUACAACACUCUGUGCAAAUUAAUGGGUUUUUCGCUCAUCCGGAAAAUGUUUUAUUAUCAAUGAUAACAGACCAGGAUAAACCAGUACGAAAUGAAGGAUAUGACAAAAUUUUUGAAUUUCGUGCGCAUGGAGUUCAUAACAUUCGUCAGUUUUCGUGCCAAGAAUAAUUUUUGAUGCUACGUCGUUAACGAAUUUAAUUGACUGGGACGAAGUUGGAAAUGUUACAGAACCGCCAUGUUUACAAUUUUAUUCGGAUGAUGUUUUGAUUUCUUUUUACAAUUCCGACAAAGUUAUCAAAAUUCCAGACUUUCCUUGUCAUUCGCAAAACACUGAGCGGUUUGUACAAAUCGUGGCUCAAUCCAGUACCUCAGUCAUUGAAAAAAAUCGUCUUGGUUAUAUUGCUAAUAAAAUAGAAUCACGCAAAUGUUACAAACGACUCAAUUCACGAAAGGAUUUUUAUGAUUUUUAUGAGGA